AGAACGAACGCUGGCGGCGCGCCUAAUACAUGCAAGUCGAGCGAGAAGACGUAGCAAUACGUUUGUAAAGCGGCGAACGGGGUGAGGAAUACAUGGGUAACCUACCCUCGACGUGGGGAAUAACUAGCCGAAAGGUUAGCUAAUACCGCGUACGCUCCUCGGACUUCGGUUCAGGGAGGAAAGCGACUACCGUGGGUAUCGCGCCUCCUGGAUGGGCUCAUGUCCUAUCAGCUUGUUGGUGAGGUAACGGCUCACCAAGGCUUCGACGGGUAGCUGGUCUGAGAGGACGAUCAGCCACACUGGCACUGCGACACGGGCCAGACUCCUACGGGAGGCAGCAGUAAGGAAUAUUGCGCAAUGGGCGAAAGCCUGACGCAGCGACGCCGCGUGGGGGA
This 395-nucleotide ribosomal RNA is filed under the name uncultured bacterium. RNAcentral describes it as "bacterial SSU rRNA". It matches the Rfam family "Bacterial small subunit ribosomal RNA", at positions 26 to 408 of the family's 1533-position model. The record is from RNAcentral.